This 468-nucleotide ribosomal RNA is filed under the name Heterosigma akashiwo. RNAcentral's name for it is "partial Bacterial small subunit ribosomal RNA". It matches the Rfam family "Bacterial small subunit ribosomal RNA", at positions 327 to 807 of the family's 1533-position model. The record is from RNAcentral. Lineage: Eukaryota; Raphidophyceae; Chattonellales; Chattonellaceae.
CGGCCCAGACUCCUACGGGAGGCAGCAGUGGGAAUAUUGCACAAUGGGCGGAAGCCUGAUGCAGCAACGCCGCGUGCGGGAUGACGGCCUUCGGGUUGUAAACCGCUUUCGCCUGUGACGAAGCGUGAGUGACGGUAAUGGGUAAAGAAGCACCGGCUAACUACGUGCCAGCAGCCGCGGUAAUACGUAGGGUGCGAGCGUUAAUCGGAAUUACUGGGCGUAAAGCGAGUGUAGGUGGCUCAUUAAGUCACAUGUGAAAUCCCCGGGCUUAACCUGGGAACUGCAUGUGAUACUGGUGGUGCUAGAAUAUGUGAGAGGGAAGUAGAAUUCCAGGUGUAGCGGUGAAAUGCGUAGAGAUCUGGAGGAAUACCGAUGGCGAAGGCAGCUUCCUGGCAUAAUAUUGACACUGAGAUUCGAAAGCGUGGGUAGCAAACAGGAUUAGAUACCCUGGUAGUCCACGCCGUAAAC